This 304-nucleotide long non-coding RNA is filed under the name Elaeis guineensis (African oil palm). RNAcentral's name for it is "long non-coding RNA (EGUI_LNC005966)". The record is from RNAcentral. Lineage: Eukaryota; Viridiplantae; Streptophyta; Magnoliopsida; Arecales; Arecaceae.
UCACUUGUAUCAAUUAGGCAUCAUUGAGCAUGCAAUUUGAAUUAUUUCUCAUUCAAUUAUGAACAACAAAAAUUUAAAUCAAACCAUUUCUAGGAUUUCAAUUGGGGAAAAAUGUUUACCGAUUGGGAUUUCUUGCACUGGCCUUCAGGCGUGGAUAUUGCUCUGGCAUAAUGGAGGGAGGCAGAAGCACCAACGGGAAAGCGAAGAGUAUGCUCCUUCAGCAUGAUGGAAGGAGGCGGCAACCGAUGGAGGAUCAACAAGAUAGAGGGAGGCGGCCACCGAUGGAGAGAUCAAUAACGUGAGG